CCACGCUUCCGUUUACUGUUCAGAAGGUACAGAGGCCUCACUCCACUGAGACAGACGGCAGCAGCGUCUGAAAGGGGAGGGAGAAGAGAAGCGUGGCCAGAUGAUUGUGCCCCACAGAAACACAGUGAGAUGCCACCACAGUAUGGCUUGACAAGUGGUGCUCAGGUCUGCACCCAGGAUCCAAACCAGCGAACCCCAGGCUGCCGAAGUGGAGCAUGUGAACCCAACUGUUAUGCCACAGGGCAGGGCCCUGUCCUCGGUUUUUUGGGGGGAUGUGAGCUAUGGUCAUGACUGAUAUUCCUCCAUCUACACUCAAUCUUCUGGAUUAUUCUGUUUUUAUCAGGUGAAUCUGCAUUCAACAACCUUCAAUGGUUCCCCAGUGUCUACAAAAUAAAAACCAAACUCCUUGCUCUGUGUUGAGUGGAUGCACAAACCCUUGCUCCCCGAAAUACAGCUCUUCAGCUUUUUCCUCUGGGUGCCUUAUAGUAUUUUCCCUCCUUGCUUGUCCUGGUAAAUGUAUUUGAGUGGAAGACUCUAAUGCAUCCCUUCAGUCUACCCACACUUUCAAACUUAUACCUUCUUCCCUAGGCUGUUGUGGUCUCUACUGAUCUCUCUUUUUUUUCAACUGAGACAUAAUUGACAUAUAACAUUAUAUUCAUUUCAA
This 664-nucleotide long non-coding RNA is filed under the name Equus caballus (horse). RNAcentral describes it as "lncRNA (ENSECAG00000038568.3)". The record is from RNAcentral. Lineage: Eukaryota; Metazoa; Chordata; Mammalia; Perissodactyla; Equidae.